GAACGGCAGCACGGGAGCAAUCCUGGUGGCGAGUGGCGAACGGGUGAGUAAUACAUCGGAACGUGCCCAGUAGUGGGGGAUAACCCGGCGAAAGCCGGACUAAUACCGCAUACGACCUACGGGUGAAAGCGGGGGAUCGCAAGACCUCGCGCUAUCGGAGCGGCCGAUGUCAGAUUAGCUUGUUGGCGGGGUAAAAGCCCACCAAGGCGACGAUCUGUAGCUGGUCUGAGAGGACGACCAGCCACACUGGGACUGAGACACGGCCCAGACUCCUACGGGAGGCAGCAGUGGGGAAUUUUGGACAAUGGGCGCAAGCCUGAUCCAGCCAUGCCGCGUGCGGGAAGAAGGCCUUCGGGUUGUAAACCGCUUUUGUCAGGGAAGAAAAGCACCGAUCUAAUACAACGGUGUCAUGACGGUACCUGAAGAAUAAGCACCGGCUAACUACGUG
This 448-nucleotide ribosomal RNA is filed under the name uncultured bacterium. Its description in RNAcentral is "bacterial SSU rRNA". It matches the Rfam family "Bacterial small subunit ribosomal RNA", at positions 64 to 507 of the family's 1533-position model. The record is from RNAcentral.